This 1321-nucleotide long non-coding RNA is filed under the name Mus caroli (Ryukyu mouse). RNAcentral's name for it is "lncRNA (MGP_CAROLIEiJ_G0003111.1)". The record is from RNAcentral. Lineage: Eukaryota; Metazoa; Chordata; Mammalia; Rodentia; Muridae.
GAGCAUUUGAAUCUAUGGGCAGGAUUCAGCAGGGGAAACAGUGACCAGGUUCUGCAGAGAGCAGGAUAGAGUGCUGAUGACAGUGGGGAAGAGGCAGAGUUAGUGCCUCCCAUAGAAAAUGGCUUGGCAAGAGUGCAGGUGGCAGGCGAAGCAGAGCCAUUUGUGUCAAAGGCAGCAUGAAGAGCAGUGGGCCAGCUAUCCAGGUCUGGGCAAAAUAGCAAGAAUGCAAGUGUAUGAGUUGAAGAAAGAAGAGGAAGAAGAUGAAUAUGCAUGGGCUAUCUCCGCUCUUCUCUAGAAAUCCUCUCACACUAAAGGAAAAGAUAAAUAAGGAGGGACAGUGACAAGUGUUCUGGCAGUGAUACGUUUUAGCAUCAUCAUUGAGUCUAGUGCCUGUGAAUUUGUAACUCCACUGAAAAACAAAGUCAUAUUGAAUUUAUGGGUCUUAAUUCACCCAGCUUGAUAAUGGUAAAAGCUUUGGGAAUUGAACUGAAUCCUUCCUUGUAACUUUAAGGAACACUCAAAAGAGAUUCCCCUCUAUCUUUUUCAUGCAUGCAAGAUUUGGGAUGCUCUACCCAACUACAGGUUAAGAAAUGCAACAUCUUGACACUUCCACAUCCAAAGCCAAGAUUGCUGUUUCUUUCAGACAGGCCCCCAAAAAGCAUUGGACAAAAUUUGACUAAAUGCUUUAUAGACCUUCCCCUUUGACUAAGAAAAAAAAACUGGUGAUUGCUUCUAUUCCAUAGAUGGAAAACCAAGAAACAGAAUUAUACUUUAUUCAUCAGGGUAUUUAGCAUUAUAUCCUUAGUGGGUGAGGCCCUUGUUUACCCUCAGGUGGUAUGCAAUUCAUGGCUAACCAGUGUAUCACUGGUACAACUAAGAUGAUUAGAUAUUACAAGUGGAAGCCUGAAGGAAUCUUCCCUGAACUGAUUGAUAUUCAACCCAUAAAUCACACCACUGCUCAUAUAGAGCAACUGCUUAUGAUAACAAGAUAACACCCAGAUCCUACUAGUUAAGAUGCCUGGCACUCAUGAUCUGGGGAAGAAUAUGAAGAGGAUGCUCCUACUGCAGAUGACUGAAACACAUACAGACUGUCUGUAAGUCAAUGAAACAGUGUGCUGCUUCUCCUCUGAUAGGCUGCUUCUUAAUUAAUCUACCCAUCAAUCAAGAGUAAUGUACCAAGUGAUGGGCCUUACUUCGGAACUCUGCCGUGGAGGCUCCAAAUACUUGUAUUGUGUGGCUUUAUGUCUGGAGACCUCAUUAUAUCAAACAAAACUCAAACUCCAGAAACCAGAAAUGUGUAUAAAGGGAGGCCUUGAAAACC